CACGUAGGGGGCAAGCGUUGUCCGGAUUUAUUGGGCGUAAAGAGCUCAUAGGCGGCUCGGUAAGUCGGGUGUGAAACCUCCAGGCUCAACCUGGAGACGCCACCUGAUACUGCUGUGGCUAGAGUCCGGUAGGGGAGUGUGGAACUCCUGGUGUAGCGGUGAAAUGCGCAGAUAUCAGGAGGAACACCGAUGGCGAAGGCAGGUCUCUGGGCCGAUACUGACGCUGAGGAGCGAAAGCGUGGGGAGCGAACAGG
This 254-nucleotide ribosomal RNA is filed under the name uncultured bacterium. RNAcentral's name for it is "partial 16S ribosomal RNA". It matches the Rfam family "Bacterial small subunit ribosomal RNA", at positions 524 to 776 of the family's 1533-position model. The record is from RNAcentral.